This 484-nucleotide ribosomal RNA is filed under the name uncultured bacterium. RNAcentral describes it as "partial 16S ribosomal RNA". It matches the Rfam family "Bacterial small subunit ribosomal RNA", at positions 29 to 507 of the family's 1533-position model. The record is from RNAcentral.
AUUGAACGCUGGCGGCAGGCCUAACACAUGCAAGUCGAGCGGAUGAAGGGAGCUUGCUCCUGGAUUCAGCGGCGGACGGGUGAGUAAUGCCUAGGAAUCUGCCUGCUAGUGGGGUAUAACGUCCUGAAACGGGCGCUACUACCGCAUACGUCCUGCGGGUGCAAGUGGGGGAUCUUCGGACCUCACGCUCUCAGAUGAGCCUAGGUCGGAUUAGCUAGUUGGUGGGGUAAAGGCCUACCAAGGCGACGAUCCGUAACUGGUCUGAGAGGAUGAUCAGUCACACGGGAACUGAGACACGGACAAGACGCCUAAGAGAGGCAGCAGUGGGGAAUAGGAGACAAUGGGCGAAAGCCUGAGCCAGCCAGGGCGCGUGUGUGAAGAAGGUCUUCGGAGUGUAAAGAACGUUAAGGGGGGAGGAAGGGCAGUAAGUUAAGACCUUGCUGGUGUGACGGUAACAACAGAAGAAGCACCGGCUAACUACGUG